This 223-nucleotide unclassified non-coding RNA is filed under the name Hevea brasiliensis (rubber tree). The record is from RNAcentral. Lineage: Eukaryota; Viridiplantae; Streptophyta; Magnoliopsida; Malpighiales; Euphorbiaceae.
AGAAGGCCCGUUAUUGGAUCAGAUUCUGUCCAUAUGAUAUAAUUGAUAUUUUUGUAUACUCAUCACUGACCUGCGAAAACCACUAACAUUCUACAAUUGUUGCAGAUAUCUCCCUCCAGGAGUAGGGUUCCAUAUUUCUUUCACAAAUCAAUUUCCCUGGAUCUUACAGACCAUGUGUUUGGAAAAUCAAACUUUGUGAAGAGCACCCAUAAUCAUGAAAUUC